GAUCAGACUCGAUAUUUUGUGAGCCUUGCCUUCGUGGCGGGGUGACCCGCAGCUUAUCGGGCCAGCAUCGGUUUGGGCGGUAGGAUAAUGGCGUAGGAAUGUGACUUUACUUCGGUGAAGUGUUAUAGCCUGCGUUGAUGCUGCCUGCCUAGACCGAGGACUGCGAUUUUAUCAAGGAUGCUGGCAUAAUGAUCCCAAACCGCCCGUCUUGA
This 212-nucleotide ribosomal RNA is filed under the name Meyerozyma guilliermondii. RNAcentral's name for it is "partial 28S rRNA". Lineage: Eukaryota; Fungi; Ascomycota; Pichiomycetes; Serinales; Debaryomycetaceae. The record is from RNAcentral.